GAGAAGCAACGUGUCAAAUAUGGCAGUUACUACAUUUUGCAAGCUGUAGAUAUUUUUAUUACAUUUUUUCUACCGACAACGACAUACACACUCACAUGACACAUCCACAAUAUUGAUUCAUUAGUCAUGACCCUCCUCCCACUCACUCACACUCACUCACCCACACUCCAUUUUCUCUCUACUCACUCACUCACCCCAACUUCAAUUUCUUUACCAAUUUUCUGACCCUAUCACGAGAUAAAUAUUUC
RNAcentral lists this long non-coding RNA (248 nucleotides) under Lathyrus oleraceus (garden pea). Its description in RNAcentral is "Pisum sativum (pea) long non-coding RNA (PSAT_LNC019579)". Lineage: Eukaryota; Viridiplantae; Streptophyta; Magnoliopsida; Fabales; Fabaceae. The record is from RNAcentral.